UACGGAGGGUGCAAGCGUUGUCCGGAAUCACUGGGCGUAAAGGGCGCGUAGGCGGCUCAUGAAGGCUGUGGUGAAAGUCCGGGGCUCAACCUCGGAUCGGCCGUGGCGACUCGUGGGCUGGAGCACUGUAGAGGCGGGUGGAACUGCGAGUGUAGAGGUGGAAUGCGUAGAGAUCCGGAAGAACACCGGUGGCGAAGGCGGCCUGCUGGGCAGUAGCUGACGCUGAGGCGCGACAGCGUGGGGAGCAAACAGG
RNAcentral lists this ribosomal RNA (253 nucleotides) under uncultured bacterium. RNAcentral's name for it is "partial 16S ribosomal RNA". It matches the Rfam family "Bacterial small subunit ribosomal RNA", at positions 524 to 776 of the family's 1533-position model. The record is from RNAcentral.